RNAcentral lists this non-coding RNA (185 nucleotides) under bovine gut metagenome. The record is from RNAcentral.
AACUCGUGCGGUUCGCCCAUCUACAGGGCGCCAAGAGGGAAGCAGGUGAAAGUCCUGCACAGUCCCGCUGCUGUGAAUCCCAUUGUCGGGCUGACGAAACAAGACCACUGGCGUUAACACGUUAACAGGUUAACAUGCCGGGAAGGUGUCGGUCCGGGGAUAAGUCAGAAGACCUGCCGCGUGAA